Non-coding RNA from Phialemonium atrogriseum, 111 nucleotides. The record is from the annotation of a RefSeq genome assembly. Lineage: Eukaryota; Fungi; Ascomycota; Sordariomycetes; Cephalothecales; Cephalothecaceae.
GCCCGAUUGGUGUAACGGUAGCACAGAGGGAGUAGUCGCAGUAGGACGCAUGAAGCAAUAAGUCGGCCAAGUUAUACCCUCAGGUCCUCGGUUCGACUCCGAGAUGGGGCA